GCGGCUGCUCCUGGAUGCUCCCGCCUCUCUCUCCCGGGCAGCGCUCUAGGGGGGGCUCAGGCCGGAUCCUGCCCAUUCUAUACGUUAAUGCUCUUUUCUCUCCGGCUGCAGGGAAGCAGGCCAGCGGAUAAUUACCCCUCACUGCAAUCCGCAGAGCUGGCCUAAUCCGAAAGCUCAAGUGCCCGAUGAAGGCUGAAGCAAGGCACCAACUCGAAGUUAGGACAAUUGAGCUGACGAUUGUUUGGUGGAGAAACAGGGAAGAGAUGCGGGCUCCAACACCACCUUUUUGGCAGAGCAGUGGGUGACAAGAAAGAGUUCUGAUUUUCUCUCACUUCUCCCAGCAGCCACAGAAAGGUGUGAUCAGAUGGUCUUCUACUACAACAGAAACAUUGCCGGAGAUCCAGCAAAAUUAUUAAACUUCUCCUGAGGCUAAACUUGUACGCAGAGAGGUUAAGGACCAGAAGCACGGCCAGUGUUUGGGGGAGCCGUAGUUGAUGGGCACGGCCGUGUCUCCUCGCAGGAGACCCCUGAGAAUGGGAAAUUAGCAGUCGAAAUCUGCUAGUGGGGACUGGAUCCCACAAAGCCCACGCGUUGGGAAGGCUGAGUGUCUCUCUCUCGCCUAUUCAAUCUGCCCAGGCUGGUUGCAGCGAAUAAAUAGAGUCAUUGUGGAGCCCAUACACAAACCGACCCAACUCCCUCCCCCAUCCCUUCUCGCCCUCCCCCCGUCCCUUUAUGCUUAAACGCACACAAAUCUGCAGCCACUUUGCACUAAGAGGAGCCCAAACUUUUCUUCCCUGUACUGUACAACGCCUGUGGGAAAGGUUUAUUCACACGUAUGGAAUAUGUACUUAUGCGGCAGAGACGGGGGUUCACGCUGAGUGAGGGCAAACAGGAGCUGCCAGGAGCAGAACCCAUCCCGGCCUCGCCCCGCCGGGCGGGCGGGCGUCCCUGUCCCCGCGGAAGAUAACGGUUCAAAGUAGCCAGAUGCAUUAAACAGCCACAAAAGGGGCCAAGAGGGAUGGGGGGCGGGGGGGCGGAGGGGUGAUUCACUUAAGUUUCUGGUGGAAAACUUAAAUGCUGCCUUCUCUGCCUCUCCCAACAUCGCUGCAAGGUGAAAUCCAUUUGGCCGCAUCCCUCCCAAGCGGCCGCAGCCCGGCGGGGCGGGCGGCAGCCCCGCGCCCGGGGAACUUGCUCCGUGCAAGAGAAUUUGCAAGCUUGAAAGCAUAUUUUUCUUCCAGCUAUGGUGGCACUUAGAUGAUAAUGUAGGCAAUGAAACUGGGAAGAUUUAUAUCUUUUGGAAAGUAGGACGAGCCAGAUGGUAAUAGCGUCAUUAACAAACAAACUUAGGAUCUGCAAGUGAAGCUUGAAAUUGGGAAAGAGAUCUAGAGAACAAAAGGAGCUGCUGUUGAGGUGGGGGGGAAAUAAAGAGUCCCUCUUCUGCCGGCCAAAUCUAAGAGCACAUUCUGGAGGGGCUGCUCCUGCCCAGCACUAGAUAAUAAACGACGGCUUUUUCCUCCCCUGUUGUGACUGAGAAAGGACAGAGAAAACUUUUGCAAUAGGCAAAUGUGGCAUUUAUUUAUGUGUAACCCUUUGUAGUCUCAAGUGUCCCAAAUGGGCCUUUAAUUCAAAUCCCUGGUUUGAUACGGAGGGAUCGCUUCUCCCAAGUUUAUUUUAGAGAAACAAAGCGCCGCUUGUGGAAGUUGGAGGGCCAAAAGUUCAGUAAUUAUUUUUUUGAAUUAAUAGUAACGAAUAAAUAUUAAAGGUUAAACGCUAUUUGCUGGGAGAGUGGAAACAUCUGAGGGAUUUAUUGUGUCCUCGAGUCUUUUUUUUUUUUUUUUUCUUUAACCUCCUCAAAAACCGUUCACUCUUUGCUAGAAGGCACCAAAACAGCAGGGGAGAGGGUCCCAGAGCAGGGCCGGGACUUUCGUGGGCGGGGAACAGGGAGGCCCCCCGGCCGGGCUUCUCCCCUGCAUCACCCUCCUGAUUUGCUCUCCAAACCCCCUCCGGGAGGUUCUCCAUGUCCAGAGGAAAGGCCUUCAGCACAGAUUUAGCCAGCUCAAAGUCCAUAAACACCGGAGACCCACCAGCUCCAGCUGGGGCUUCAGCAGGAGGGCAGGAGGGAUGGGCUGUGUGCCUCCUAAACUUUAACCACUAUGUUCCCAAAUGCUAUAGAAAUGUUUGGAGGUCUUUAGAAGGUCCCCGUAUCUCUCUUCCAAAGUUGAUGGUUAUUAGAUGAUUAAUGAUUUAAAGAU
Catharus ustulatus (Swainson's thrush) is the source of this 2252-nucleotide long non-coding RNA. RefSeq lists it as uncharacterized. The transcript has 3 exons. Lineage: Eukaryota; Metazoa; Chordata; Aves; Passeriformes; Turdidae. The record is from RefSeq and is a predicted model, not a curated record.